GACGAACGCUGGCGGCGUGCCUAAUACAUGCAAGUAGAACGCACAGUUUAUACCGCAGCUUGCUACACCAUAGACUGUGAGUUGCGAACGGGUGAGUAACGCGUAGGUAACCUGCCUGGUAGCGGGGGAUAACUAUUGGAAACGAUAGCUAAUACCGCAUAAUAUUGAUUAUUGCAUGAUAAUUGAUUGAAAGAUGCUAUUGCAUCACUACCAGAUGGACCUGCGUUGUAUUAGCUAGUAGGUGAGGUAACGGCUCACCUAGGCGACGAUACAUAGCCGACCUGAGAGGGUGAUCGGCCACACUGGGACUGAGACACGGCCCAGACUCCUACGGGAGGCAGCAGUAGGGAAUCUUCGGCAAUGGACGAAAGUCUGACCGAGCAACGCCGCGUGAGUGAAGAAGGUUUUCGGAUCGUAAAGCUCUGUUGUAAGAGAAGAACGGGUGUGAGAGUGGAAAGUUCACACUGUGACGGUAUCUUACCAGAAAGGGACGGCUAACUACGU
This 504-nucleotide ribosomal RNA is filed under the name uncultured bacterium. Its description in RNAcentral is "partial 16S ribosomal RNA". It matches the Rfam family "Bacterial small subunit ribosomal RNA", at positions 28 to 506 of the family's 1533-position model. The record is from RNAcentral.